GAAUAUUGGGCAAUGGGCGCAAGCCUGACCCAGCAACGCCGCGUGAGGGAAGAAGGCCUUCGUGUUGUAAAUCUCUGUCCUUAGGGAAGAAGAAAGUGACGGUACCCAAGGAGGAAGCUCCGUCUCACGCCGUCCAAGCAGCCGCGGGAAUACGUAGGGGGCGCGCGUUGUCCGGAAUUACUGGGCGUAAAGGGUGCGUAGGCGGCUACGUAGGUCAGAUGUGAAAACCCCGGGCUUAACUCGGGGGGUGCAUUUGAAACUGCGUGGCUUGUGUGCAGGAGAGGAAAGUGGAAUUCCUAGUGUAGCGGUGGAAUGCGUAGUUAUUAGGAGGAACACCAGUGGCGAAGGCGACUUUCUGGACUAUAACUGACGCUGAGGCACGAAAGCGUGGGGAGCAAACA
RNAcentral lists this ribosomal RNA (401 nucleotides) under uncultured bacterium. RNAcentral describes it as "partial 16S ribosomal RNA". It matches the Rfam family "Bacterial small subunit ribosomal RNA", at positions 359 to 774 of the family's 1533-position model. The record is from RNAcentral.